This 495-nucleotide ribosomal RNA is filed under the name uncultured bacterium. Its description in RNAcentral is "bacterial SSU rRNA". It matches the Rfam family "Bacterial small subunit ribosomal RNA", at positions 29 to 525 of the family's 1533-position model. The record is from RNAcentral.
AAUAAACGCUGGCGGCGUGCCUAACACAUGCAAGUCGAGCGAGAAAGCUCCUUCGGGAGUUAGUAAAGCGGCGAACGGGUGAGCAACACGUGAGAAUCUACCCUUUAGUGAAGAAUACCCUCGAGAAAUCGAGGCUAAUACUGCAUACGUCCCUUCGGGGAGAAAGAUGGCCUCUUUGCUAUCGCUAAAGGAUGAGCUUGCGUACUAUUAGCUAGUUGGCGGGGUAAAGGCCCACCAAGGCAAUGAUGGUUAACCGGCCUGAGAGGGUGUACGGUCACACUGGAACUUAGACACGGUCCAGACUCCUACGGGAGGCAGCAGUGAGGAAUCUUGCGCAAUGGGCGAAAGCCUGACGCAGCGACGCCGCGUGGAGGAUGACGGUUUUCGGAUUGUAACUCCUGUUAAGCGGAGAAAGCCUUGUUUCUAAUACAAGCAAGGUAUGACGGUACCGCUAGAGAAGCACCGGCUAACUUCGUGCCAGCAGCCGCGGUAAGG